This 497-nucleotide ribosomal RNA is filed under the name uncultured bacterium. Its description in RNAcentral is "partial 16S ribosomal RNA". It matches the Rfam family "Bacterial small subunit ribosomal RNA", at positions 28 to 507 of the family's 1533-position model. The record is from RNAcentral.
GAUGAACGCUGGCGGCGUGCCUAAUACAUGCAAGUCGAGCGAACGGACGAGAAGCUUGCUUCUCUGAUGUUAGCGGCGGACGGGUGAGUAACACGUGGAUAACCUACCUAUAAGACUGGGAUAACUUCGGGAAGCCAGAGCUAAUACCGGAUAAUAUUUUGAACCGCAUGGUUCAAAAGUGAAAGACGGUCUUGCUGUCACUUAUAGAUGGAUCCGCGCUGCAUUAGCUAGUUGGUAAGGUAACGGCUUACCAAGGCAACGAUGCAUAGCCGACCUGAGAGGGUGAUCGGCCACACUGGAACUGAGACACGGUCCAGACUCCUACGGGAGGCAGCAGUAGGGAAUCUUCCGCAAUGGGCGAAAGCCUGACGGAGCAACGCCGCGUGAGUGAUGAAGGUCUUCGGAUCGUAAAACUCUGUUAUUAGGGAAGAACAUAUGUGUAAGUAACUGUGCACAUCUUGACGGUACCUAAUCAGAAAGCCACGGCUAACUACGUG